Molecule: long non-coding RNA, 97 nt
Organism: Mustela erminea (ermine)
Lineage: Eukaryota; Metazoa; Chordata; Mammalia; Carnivora; Mustelidae
Exons: 2
Source: RefSeq, a predicted model, not a curated record
CUUGGGCUGAAAUCAGGAGUUGGAUGCUUAACUGACUGAACCACCGAGGUUCAGUCAGUCACUUAUGAGUUUUAAAAUUAAAAAAAAAAAAAAAGAA